GAAGGUGGCCUGUGAGGGUUGCUGGAGGUAUCAGAAGUGCGAAUGCUGACAUAAGUAACGAUAAAGCGGGUGAAAAGCCCGCUCGCCGGAAGACCAAGGGUUCCUGUCCAACGUUAAUCGGGGCAGGGUGAGUCGACCCCUAAGGCGAGGCCGAAAGGCGUAGUCGAUGGGAAACGGGUUAAUAUUCCCGUACUUGGUGUUACUGCGAAGGGGGGACGGAGAAGGCUAUGUUGGCCGGGCGACGGUUGUCCCGGUUUAAGCGUGUAGGUGUGUGUUCCAGGUAAAUCCGGUUCACUUUAACACUGAGGCGUGACGACGAGGCACUACGGUGCUGAAGCAACAAAUGCCCUGCUUCCAGGAAAAGCCUCUAAGCAUCAGGUAACAUCAAAUCGUACCCCAAACCGACACAGGUGGUCAGGUAGAGAAUACCAAGGCGCUUGAGAGAACUCGGGUGAAGGAACUAGGCAAAAUGGUGCCGUAACUUCGGGAGAAGGCACGCUGACAUGUAGGUGAAGUGAUUUACUCAUGGAGCUGAAGUCAGUCGAAGAUACCAGCUGGCUGCAACUGUUUAUUAAAAACACAGCACUGUGCAAACACGAAAGUGGACGUAUACGGUGUGACGCCUGCCCGGUGCCGGAAGGUUAAUUGAUGGGGUCAGCGCAAGCGAAGCUCCUGAUCGAAGCCCCGGUAAACGGCGGCCGUAACUAUAACGGUCCUAAGGUAGCGAAAUUCCUUGUCGGGUAAGUUCCGACCUGCACGAAUGGCGUAAUGAUGGCCAGGCUGUCUCCACCCGAGACUCAGUGAAAUUGAACUCGCUGUGAAGAUGCAGUGUACCCGCGGCAAGACGGAAAGACCCCGUGAACCUUUACUAUAGCUUGACACUGAACAUUGAGCCUUGAUGUGUAG
This 906-nucleotide ribosomal RNA is filed under the name Salmonella enterica subsp. enterica serovar Leeuwarden. RNAcentral's name for it is "partial 23S ribosomal RNA". It matches the Rfam family "Bacterial large subunit ribosomal RNA", at positions 1252 to 2141 of the family's 2925-position model. Lineage: Bacteria; Pseudomonadati; Pseudomonadota; Gammaproteobacteria; Enterobacterales; Enterobacteriaceae. The record is from RNAcentral.